This 212-nucleotide unclassified non-coding RNA is filed under the name plant metagenome. Its description in RNAcentral is "partial contains small subunit ribosomal RNA and internal transcribed spacer 1". The stretch from base 1 to 46 matches the Rfam family "Eukaryotic small subunit ribosomal RNA", at positions 1786 to 1831 of the family's 1831-position model. The record is from RNAcentral.
AAGUCGUAACAAGGUUUCCGUAGGUGAACCUGCGGAAGGAUCAUUAUUGAAAUAAACCUGAUGGGUUGUUGCUGGUUCUCUAGGGAGCAUUGUGCACACCUAUCAUCUUUAUAUCUCCCCCUGUGCACCUUUUGUAGACCCCCGGCCUGGUGUUGUCUCAUUUAUCCCCAAUGUAUGUUAAUAGAAUGUAUGUGCCUAUGAAAUCUAUACAA